GGAAAGCUCCAGCACAAAGGAGCGGCGCGGAGGGCAGAAGCGAGCGGAGCCGGCGCCCCCCAGCCCCAACCCGGCCCCCGGGAGCAGUCCCCUCGCGGCCUCCACAGCGCAGAGCCACACAGGAUGGGGGGACAUUGCACGGCACUUGCAUAGCUGGUGACCACAGGUAGGAUCCCCAGGGAGGGGACACAGGCAGUACCAGCCCCAUGCUCUCCCACCCCUAGCAAGCUGGGAGGGCUCUGGGCAGCCAGGAGCCUUCCUGCCCAGGUUCCAGUGGUGUCCAGGGGGUCACA
This 293-nucleotide long non-coding RNA is filed under the name Lepidothrix coronata (blue-crowned manakin). RNAcentral describes it as "lncRNA (ENSLCOG00000012463.1)". Lineage: Eukaryota; Metazoa; Chordata; Aves; Passeriformes; Pipridae. The record is from RNAcentral.